This 269-nucleotide ribosomal RNA is filed under the name uncultured Gram-positive bacterium. RNAcentral describes it as "partial 16S ribosomal RNA". It matches the Rfam family "Bacterial small subunit ribosomal RNA", at positions 33 to 301 of the family's 1533-position model. The record is from RNAcentral.
ACGCUGGCGGCGGGCCUAACACAUGCAAGUCGAACGAACUCGACCUUCGGGUCAUAUAGUGAGUGGCGAACGGGUGAGUAACACGUGAGAAACCUGCCCCGAAGACUGGAACAACCCGAGGAAACUCGGGCUAAUACCGGAUACCCCCAUCGGAUCGCAUGGUCUGAUGAGGAAAUGCUCCGGCGCUUCGGGAGGGUCUCGCGGCCUAUCAGCUAGUUGGUGAGGUAACGGCUCACCAAGGCAACGACGGGUAGCUGGUCUGAGAGGAC